UUUUUAAUUAACUCGGUAGUCGUCAUGAUAACCUGAGAUAAUGUAAUUAAACGGCGCCUCUUGCGCCGUUUAUAUUUUCCUUUAUGUAGCGAUUCGCAACGAUUAAGCACAAUGUACACACCCACACAAACUAAUAACCUAAACGCUGGUUAAAAGAAAACCACUUUAACUUUAUUUCCUUAAUAGUCUGUAUUCCUGUACAAUUCGCACCUUAAAUUUUCCGUGUUAAUUUAUAUCCAAGGCUUAU
This 247-nucleotide unclassified non-coding RNA is filed under the name Moritella viscosa. RNAcentral's name for it is "putative sRNA". The record is from RNAcentral. Lineage: Bacteria; Pseudomonadati; Pseudomonadota; Gammaproteobacteria; Alteromonadales; Moritellaceae.